Molecule: non-coding RNA, 1465 nt
Organism: Oryctolagus cuniculus (rabbit)
Lineage: Eukaryota; Metazoa; Chordata; Mammalia; Lagomorpha; Leporidae
Source: RefSeq, a predicted model, not a curated record
AGGGGGUGUCUUGGGGAGUGGGGGGAAGGUAAGGUCCCCUGAGGCCUGGGGGGAGGUGAGGCAGGGGAGGAGCCUGGCCUGGGGGCACCGCACCCUCCUGUCCCGCUGCCUGCAGGCCCACGUGAUGUCUCGGAAGAAUCCAGGAAGGAGGGAGGGCGUCCACUCUGAUGUGGCCAUCUGACGUGCCUGCGUCCACGCCCAGGCCGUGUUUGGGUGACCAUUCUGUGCCUUGCGACAUCCCUUACUCUCUGCUCUCGGAGUUGAGGCUGUUCGGCGGUGCCUUCGACUCCCGGCAAAGGCCGGCUGGACGGACACGCAGGCAGCAGACACGCCUGAUGGUGUAGGGACGCCCUGAGGAGCAUCUUCACUGCACCCCUUAUGGUUAGAAGAAAUUAGCAGCGUGGGGCGGCGGCACAGGCCUGGCAAAGUGCACAAAAUGAAAUACUUUCAAAGCGUUACAUUAGAACCGCGGUGACUGGAGAUGGUGCAGUUUUACACUAGAGCUGGGAAGGCAGUUCAGUGUCUUUGAUGUUCGGAGCACUCGCAGCACUGCCCUGCCUCGCUGGAGGCGGGCUUGGGAGUCAGGAGCUACCAGGACCCGCAGACGCCGGCGGGAGCAGAGGCUGCCCCUGGGGUCUACCUCCCGGGCCGCAAGCCCUGUCUCGGUUAUCCACUCCCUCCCGGGCUGUAUCAGCUCAAGGCGCCUGUGCCCACCGCAAACAGGCAUGGAGAAGGUGGCAGGCUGUGUGUCUGCUAGAUGCAGGGACGCCUGGAGACACGCAGGCAACCUUGGACCCUGGGGGCUGUCACAGUGACGUCUCUGCCGGGCUGUUGCUGAGACAGGGACGCCCAGUCCCUCGUGGUGGCCCUGUGGGUCUGUGCUCACAGAAAGGACCACAGGGCCCUGGCGGCGUGGGGGGCAGGGGAGCUCCCUCUGGGUGGCGCCACUUCUGUCUGGGGGGGAUCCAGGGGCCUAUGAGACUGCACACGUGGAUCAGAGCGCGUGACCUACAGGCAGCAUCCUGCACCGUCGGCCACACCAUCUCACCGAGUGUCGACAGCUGGACAGCACACAGCUCAGUCGCGUUCUGUGGCGGCUGCUCUCUGAAUAAAGUGCCGGGGUGGCCAGCUGCACCAGCCCCUUCCUCUCCCCGGCCGGCGUCCACGGCGGGGCCUGGGCUGCCUCGCUUUGCUCUCUGCUCGGUCGUCUUGCAACGCUGAAGCUCCUUGCCUGGCGUGGCUUCCGUGAGGACGUGGCGUGUCCCUCGCCUUCACCCACCACACCUGCAGGAGCCCCUCUCCCAAAUGCGGCCGCAGCCCCAGCACUGGGGACACGACUCAACCCGGCAGGAGCUGGGGAGUUGAGACGGCCGCCGUAGCUCAGGGCCCCAGCGCCGGGGUGCACAGCCCUGCUGCCCUUGGCCUUGUUGCCCAGCUGGCAUGGUCCUUCCAGAGAGAGAGGACA